Molecule: ribosomal RNA, 898 nt
Filed under: Trichoderma pachypallidum
Lineage: Eukaryota; Fungi; Ascomycota; Sordariomycetes; Hypocreales; Hypocreaceae
Description: LSU rRNA
Rfam family: Eukaryotic large subunit ribosomal RNA
Source: RNAcentral
GCAUAUCAAUAAGCGGAGGAAAAGAAACCAACAGGGAUUGCCCCAGUAACGGCGAGUGAAGCGGCAACAGCUCAAAUUUGAAAUCUGGCCCCCCCGGGGUCCGAGUUGUAAUUUGUAGAGGAUGCUUUUGGUGAGGUGCCGCCCGAGUUCCCUGGAACGGGACGCCACAGAGGGUGAGAGCCCCGUCUGGCUGGCCGCCGAGCCUCUGUAAAGCUCCUUCGACGAGUCGAGUAGUUUGGGAAUGCUGCUCAAAAUGGGAGGUAUAUGUCUUCUAAAGCUAAAUACUGGCCAGAGACCGAUAGCGCACAAGUAGAGUGAUCGAAAGAUGAAAAGCACCUUGAAAAGAGGGUUAAAUAGUACGUGAAAUUGUUGAAAGGGAAGCGCUUGUGACCAGACUUGGGCGCGGCGGAUCAUCCGGGGUUCUCCCCGGUGCACUUCGCCUCGCCCAGGCCAGCAUCAGCUCGCCGCGGGGGAAAAAGGCCUCGGGAACGUGGCUCCUCCGGGAGUGUUAUAGCCCGUUGCACAAUACCCUGCGGUGGGCUGAGGACCGCGCAUCUGCAAGGAUGCUGGCGUAAUGGUCACCAGCGACCCGUCUUGAAACACGGACCAAGGAGUCGUCUUCGUAUGCGAGUGUUCGGGUGUCAAACCCCUACGCGUAAUGAAAGUGAACGCAGGUGAGAGCUUCGGCGCAUCAUCGACCGAUCCUGAUGUUCUCGGAUGGAUUUGAGUAAGAGCAUACGGGGCCGGACCCGAAAGAAGGUGAACUAUGCCUGUAUAGGGUGAAGCCAGAGGAAACUCUGGUGGAGGCUCGCAGCGGUUCUGACGUGCAAAUCGAUCGUCAAAUAUGGGCAUGGGGGGCGAAAGACUAAUCGAACCUUCUAGUAGCUGGUUUCCGCGA